This 1501-nucleotide ribosomal RNA is filed under the name Salmonella enterica subsp. enterica serovar Agona. RNAcentral describes it as "bacterial SSU rRNA". It matches the Rfam family "Bacterial small subunit ribosomal RNA". Lineage: Bacteria; Pseudomonadati; Pseudomonadota; Gammaproteobacteria; Enterobacterales; Enterobacteriaceae. RNAcentral also lists the same sequence under 1 other name. The record is from RNAcentral.
AGUUUGAUCCUGGCUCAGAUUGAACGCUGGCGGCAGGCCUAACACAUGCAAGUCGAACGGUAACAGGAAGCAGCUUGCUGCUUUGCUGACGAGUGGCGGACGGGUGAGUAAUGUCUGGGAAACUGCCUGAUGGAGGGGGAUAACUACUGGAAACGGUGGCUAAUACCGCAUAACGUCGCAAGACCAAAGAGGGGGACCUUCGGGCCUCUUGCCAUCAGAUGUGCCCAGAUGGGAUUAGCUUGUUGGUGAGGUAACGGCUCACCAAGGCGACGAUCCCUAGCUGGUCUGAGAGGAUGACCAGCCACACUGGAACUGAGACACGGUCCAGACUCCUACGGGAGGCAGCAGUGGGGAAUAUUGCACAAUGGGCGCAAGCCUGAUGCAGCCAUGCCGCGUGUAUGAAGAAGGCCUUCGGGUUGUAAAGUACUUUCAGCGGGGAGGAAGGUGUUGUGGUUAAUAACCACAGCAAUUGACGUUACCCGCAGAAGAAGCACCGGCUAACUCCGUGCCAGCAGCCGCGGUAAUACGGAGGGUGCAAGCGUUAAUCGGAAUUACUGGGCGUAAAGCGCACGCAGGCGGUCUGUCAAGUCGGAUGUGAAAUCCCCGGGCUCAACCUGGGAACUGCAUUCGAAACUGGCAGGCUUGAGUCUUGUAGAGGGGGGUAGAAUUCCAGGUGUAGCGGUGAAAUGCGUAGAGAUCUGGAGGAAUACCGGUGGCGAAGGCGGCCCCCUGGACAAAGACUGACGCUCAGGUGCGAAAGCGUGGGGAGCAAACAGGAUUAGAUACCCUGGUAGUCCACGCCGUAAACGAUGUCUACUUGGAGGUUGUGCCCUUGAGGCGUGGCUUCCGGAGCUAACGCGUUAAGUAGACCGCCUGGGGAGUACGGCCGCAAGGUUAAAACUCAAAUGAAUUGACGGGGGCCCGCACAAGCGGUGGAGCAUGUGGUUUAAUUCGAUGCAACGCGAAGAACCUUACCUGGUCUUGACAUCCACAGAACUUUCCAGAGAUGGACUGGUGCCUUCGGGAACUGUGAGACAGGUGCUGCAUGGCUGUCGUCAGCUCGUGUUGUGAAAUGUUGGGUUAAGUCCCGCAACGAGCGCAACCCUUAUCCUUUGUUGCCAGCGGUCCGGCCGGGAACUCAAAGGAGACUGCCAGUGAUAAACUGGAGGAAGGUGGGGAUGACGUCAAGUCAUCAUGGCCCUUACGACCAGGGCUACACACGUGCUACAAUGGCGCAUACAAAGAGAAGCGACCUCGCGAGAGCAAGCGGACCUCAUAAAGUGCGUCGUAGUCCGGAUUGGAGUCUGCAACUCGACUCCAUGAAGUCGGAAUCGCUAGUAAUCGUGGAUCAGAAUGCCACGGUGAAUACGUUCCCGGGCCUUGUACACACCGCCCGUCACACCAUGGGAGUGGGUUGCAAAAGAAGUAGGUAGCUUAACCUUCGGGAGGGCGCUUACCACUUUGUGAUUCAUGACUGGGGUGAAGUCGUAACAAGGUAGCC